Cavia aperea (Brazilian guinea pig) is the source of this 116-nucleotide small nucleolar RNA. Lineage: Eukaryota; Metazoa; Chordata; Mammalia; Rodentia; Caviidae. The record is from Ensembl.
GUCCCCUCGUAAAACUGAACCAGUGCUUUAGGAAGCUACUCAGUAGGUAAAGUGAGUCUCUGUACAGCACGGACAGAUUAUCGAACUCUCCUUUGGUCCUUUCUAGACUCACAGCU